RNAcentral lists this ribosomal RNA (253 nucleotides) under uncultured bacterium. RNAcentral describes it as "partial 16S ribosomal RNA". It matches the Rfam family "Bacterial small subunit ribosomal RNA", at positions 524 to 776 of the family's 1533-position model. The record is from RNAcentral.
UACGUAGGGGGCAAGCGUUGUCCGGAUUUAUUGGGCGUAAAGAGCGUGUAGGCGGCCAGGUAGGUCAGCUGUGAAAACUCGAGGCUCAACCUCGAGACGUCGGUUGAAACCAUCUGGCUAGAGUCCGGAAGAGGAGAGUGGAAUUCCUGGUGUAGCGGUGAAAUGCGCAGAUAUCAGGAAGAACACCCGUGGCGAAGGCGGCUCUCUGGGACGGUACUGACGCUGAGGAGCGAAAGCGUGGGGAGCGAACAGG